Molecule: ribosomal RNA, 442 nt
Filed under: uncultured bacterium
Lineage: Bacteria
Description: partial 16S ribosomal RNA
Rfam family: Bacterial small subunit ribosomal RNA
Source: RNAcentral
CCUACGGGAGGCAGCAGUGGGGAAUAUUGGGCAAUGGGCGCAAGCCUGACCCAGCAACGCCGCGUGAAGGAAGAAGGCUUUCGGGUUGUAAACUUCUUUUAAGGGGGAAGAGCAGAAGACGGUACCCCUUGAAUAAGCCACGGCUAACUACGUGCCAGCCGCCGCGGUAAUACGUAGGUGGCAAGCGUUGUCCGGAUUUACUGGGUGUAAAGGGCGUGCAGCCGGAGAGACAAGUCAGAUGUGAAAUCCACGGGCUCAACCCGUGAACUGCAUUUGAAACUGUUUCCCUUGAGUGUCGGAGAGGUAAUCGGAAUUACUUGUGUAGCGGUGAAAUGCGUAGAUAUAAGGAAGAACACCAGUGGCGAAGGCGGAUUACUGGACGAUAACUGACGGUGAGGCGCGAAAGCGUGGGGAGCAAACAGGAUUAGAGACCCCUGUAGUC